UGGGGAAUAUUGCACAAUGGGCGGAAGCCUGAUGCAGCAACGCCGCGUGCGGGAUGACGGCCUUCGGGUUGUAAACCGCUUUCGCCUGUGACGAAGCGUGAGUGACGGUAAUGGGUAAAGAAGCACCGGCUAACUACGUGCCAGCAGCCGCGGUGAUACGUAGGGUGCGAGCGUUGUCCGGAUUUAUUGGGCGUAAAGGGCUCGUAGGUGGUUGAUCGCGUCGGAGGUGUAAUCUUGGGGCUUAACCCUGAGCGUGCUUUCGAUACGGGUUGACUUGAGGAAGGUAGGGGAGAAUGGAAUUCCUGGUGGAGCGGUGGAAUGCGCAGAUAUCAGGAGGAACACCAGUGGCGAAGGCGGUUCUCUGGGCCUUUCCUGACGCUGAGGAGCGAAAGCGUGGGGAGCGAACA
Molecule: ribosomal RNA, 407 nt
Filed under: uncultured bacterium
Lineage: Bacteria
Description: partial 16S ribosomal RNA
Rfam family: Bacterial small subunit ribosomal RNA
Source: RNAcentral